UGGACAUUGAGACAUAAAAAUCCUCGUUAGAUUUUUUUUUAAUGCUUUUUCUUCUAUGUUGAAAAAAUGGGUAUUCUUGGAAAAUUUCAGAACGAUAAAUUGUAUUGGUGUGGGUUUUUCAGGAUCAAAUAAUUUUCCUUGCAACAGAAUUUAUUCUAGUAAUUAUUUUCAGCAGUAUUGUUUAGAUAGCAUAUGCUUUUCUCUCCAGAAAUUACUUUAAAGACAUUCUUAGCAUUAGUAAGAAGAUAGUAGGUAGGCAAAUCUAAGUUGGAAAACAGUUGCUAGUCUGGAAGCUCUCUAUUACUCAAUCAGUGAAAUCUCUUCAAGACCCAAAAUAAGACUUUAACCAAUCAAUAAAGUAUUUAUUGAGUACUUUGUGAUGGGCACUGUGUUGACCUAAUGAGAGAAAAAGACCAAAUAAAAAACUGUUCCUGCUCUCUAGGAACUUACUGUUUGUUAUCUAAUGGUUUUUAGGGUAUUUGGAAACUAAAGUGCAUAUUUGAAUGCCAUGGUAAUUAAAGCAACUCAGAUUUCUCUGUUGUAUUGUUGCUAACAGUUUACACUGUUGACAAAAUUAUAUUUCAUAACCAGUUUCCUCUUCUGUAACAUACUUCCUAUAUUCUUAAAUGAUUGAUAUUCAGAUACAAUUUUAAUAUUUUUGGAUAUUUGAGACAAAGCAGUAUUAUCUUUCUGUGUUAUUUCAUACUUCCCACAGUAUGAUAGGAGAGUUAGCAGUAUAGCCACUAAGUUGUGGUAUCCAGGAUAUAAAUUAUGAGCUAUUGAAACAUUUGUGGGGCAGAUUGAAUGCUGUGAAUACAGUUGGUACUGGCAAGUUUUUGGAUGAAUCUGAGAUCACCAAAAUGCUUAUCACAGGAAUAUUAGGCAGCAGGAUUAUGCUUGGUAUCUGGUGUUAACUUGGGGCAUCAUUUUCAGUAUAUGUUUAUUAGUUAUCUUGUCUCAACUUUGUGAAGCAGACAGAGAAGCAGCAUUUUUGGUGGGAAUAGAAAGUUAAUUCCGGGA
This 1020-nucleotide long non-coding RNA is filed under the name Sarcophilus harrisii (Tasmanian devil). RNAcentral's name for it is "lncRNA (ENSSHAG00000026725.1)". The record is from RNAcentral. Lineage: Eukaryota; Metazoa; Chordata; Mammalia; Dasyuromorphia; Dasyuridae.